GGACGAACGCUGGCGGCGUGCUUACCACAUGCAAGUCGAACGGAAAGGCCCUGCUUUUGUGGGGUGCUCGAGUGGCGAACGGGUGAGUAACACGUGAGUAACCUGCCCUUGACUUUGGGAUAACUUCAGGAAACUGGGGCUAAUACCGGAUAGGAGCUCCUGCUGCAUGGUGGGGGUUGGAAAGUUUCGGCGGUUGGGGAUGGACUCGCGGCUUAUCAGCUUGUUGGUGGGGUAGUGGCUUACCAAGGCUUUGACGGGUAGCCGGCCUGAGAGGGUGACCGGCCACAUUGGGACUGAGAUACGGCCCAGACUCCUACGGGAGGCAGCAGUGGGGAAUAUUGCACAAUGGGCGGAAGCCUGAUGCAGCAACGCCGCGUGCGGGAUGACGGCCUUCGGGUUGUAAACCGCUUUCGCCUGUGACGAAGCGUGAGUGACGGUAAUGGGUAAAGAAGCACCGGCUAACUACGUG
RNAcentral lists this ribosomal RNA (469 nucleotides) under uncultured bacterium. Its description in RNAcentral is "partial 16S ribosomal RNA". It matches the Rfam family "Bacterial small subunit ribosomal RNA", at positions 27 to 507 of the family's 1533-position model. The record is from RNAcentral.